Molecule: ribosomal RNA, 383 nt
Filed under: uncultured eukaryote
Lineage: Eukaryota
Description: partial 18S ribosomal RNA
Rfam family: Eukaryotic small subunit ribosomal RNA
Source: RNAcentral
CAAUAGCGUAUAUUAAAGUUGUUGCAGUUAAAAAGCUCGUAGUUGGAUUUCUGGUGGGAGCGAUCGGUCUGGCGCUUAGCGCGAGUACUUGCAUCGUCUCCGGCCAUCCUUGGGGAGAGUCUGUCUGACAUUAGGUUGUCGGGCAGAGGAUCCUCAUCGUUUACUGUGAAAAAAUUAGAGUGUUCAAAGCAGGCUUAUGCCGUUGAAUAUAUUAGCAUGGAAUAAUAAGAUAGGACUUUGGUACUAUUUUGUUGGUUUGCGCACCAAAGUAAUGAUUAAUAGGGACAGUUGGGGGUAUUCGUAUUCCGUUGUCAGAGGUGAAAUUCUUGGAUUUACGGAAGACGAACUACUGCGAAAGCAUUUACCAAGGAUGUUUUCAUUAA